Molecule: transfer RNA, 77 nt
Filed under: Oscillospiraceae bacterium
Lineage: Bacteria; Bacillati; Bacillota; Clostridia; Eubacteriales; Oscillospiraceae
Description: tRNA-Arg
Rfam family: tRNA
About the family: Transfer RNA (tRNA) molecules are approximately 80 nucleotides in length. Their secondary structure includes four short double-helical elements and three loops (D, anti-codon, and T loops). Further hydrogen bonds mediate the characteristic L-shaped molecular structure. tRNAs have two regions of fundamental functional importance: the anti-codon, which is responsible for specific mRNA codon recognition, and the 3' end, to which the tRNAs corresponding amino acid is attached (by aminoacyl-tRNA synthetases). tRNAs cope with the degeneracy of the genetic code in two manners: having more than one tRNA (with a specific anti-codon) for a particular amino acid; and 'wobble' base-pairing, i.e. permitting non-standard base-pairing at the 3rd anti-codon position.
Source: RNAcentral
GCCCCUGUAGCUCACCUGGAUAGAGCGUAUGCCUCCUAAGCGUAAGGUAGUGAGUUCGAGUCUCGCCGGGGGUGCCA